GAUGAACGCUAGCGGCAGGCCUAACACAUGCAAGUCGAGGGAGAAGCCUUUCGGGGCAGAAACCGGCGCACGGGUGCGUAACGCGUAUGCAACCUACCUUUCACAGGGGGAUAGCCCGAAGAAAUUUGGAUUAAUACCCCAUAAUAUUGUUGGAUGGCAUCAUCUGAUAAUUAAAACUGCGGUGGUGAAAGAUGGGCAUGCGUCCUAUUAGCUAGUUGGAGUGGUAACGGCACCCCAAGGCUACGAUAGGUAGGGGUCCUGAGAGGGAGAUCCCCCACACUGGUACUGAGACAGGGACCAGACUCCUACGGGAGGCAGCAGUGAGGAAUAUUGGUCAAUGGUCGGAAGACUGAACCAGCCAUGCCGCGUGCAGGAAGAAUGCCUUAUGGGUUGUAAACUGCUUUUAUAUGGGAAGAAUAAGGUGUACGUGUACAUUGAUGACGGUACCAGAUGAAUAAGCAUCGGCUAACUCCGUG
RNAcentral lists this ribosomal RNA (476 nucleotides) under uncultured bacterium. Its description in RNAcentral is "partial 16S ribosomal RNA". It matches the Rfam family "Bacterial small subunit ribosomal RNA", at positions 28 to 507 of the family's 1533-position model. The record is from RNAcentral.